CACUGAUGUCUGCGGCUGCUGCUGCUGCUGUAUGGCCUGCACCGCUUCAGUGAGGCCUCUGACCUGCUGAAUCAAUAGGUCGAAUUGCUCCACACCAACCGCCAUUGCCGGAGGAGGAGGAGCCUGGGAAACUAGAGGUGAGGCCGAAGCCUGAGAUCUGGCUGCGGAGGCCGUGGAUCGCCGAUUGGAUGCUUUGCGGGGGGG
RNAcentral lists this long non-coding RNA (204 nucleotides) under Elaeis guineensis (African oil palm). RNAcentral describes it as "long non-coding RNA (EGUI_LNC081042)". The record is from RNAcentral. Lineage: Eukaryota; Viridiplantae; Streptophyta; Magnoliopsida; Arecales; Arecaceae.